RNAcentral lists this ribosomal RNA (447 nucleotides) under uncultured bacterium. Its description in RNAcentral is "partial 16S ribosomal RNA". It matches the Rfam family "Bacterial small subunit ribosomal RNA", at positions 29 to 523 of the family's 1533-position model. The record is from RNAcentral.
AGCGGACGCUGGCGGCAGGCUUAACACAUGCAAGUCGAACGGUCCUCCGGGAUAGUGGCGGACGGGUGAGUAACACGUGGGAACGUACCCUUAGGUUCGGAACAACACAGGGAAACUUGUGCUAAUACCGGAUAAGCCCUUCGGGGGAAAGAUUUAUCGCCUUUGGAGCGGCCCGCGUCUGAUUAGCUUGUUGGUGAGGUAAUGGCUCACCAAGGCUACGAUCAGUAGCUGGUCUGAGAGGAUGGCCAGCCAAACUGGGACUGAGACACGGCCCAGACUCCUACGGGAGGCAGCAGUGGGGAAUCUUGCGCAAUGGGCGAAAGCCUGACGCAGCCAUGCCGCGUGGAUGAUGAAGGUCUUAGGAUUGUAAAAUCCUUUCACCGGGGACGAUAAUGACGGUACCCGGAGAAGAAGCCCCGGCUAACUUCGUGCCAGCCGCCGCAGUAA